UACGGAGGGUGCAAGCGUUAUCCGGAUUCACUGGGUUUAAAGGGUGCGUAGGCGGCUUAAUAAGUCAGUGGUGAAAGCUCGCAGCUUAACUGUGAAACUGCCAUUGAAACUGUUUAGCUUGAAUCUGGUUGAAGUGGGCGGAAUACAACAUGUAGCGGUGAAAUGCUUAGAUAUGUUGUAGAACACCGAUUGCGAAGGCAGCUCACUAAGCCAACAUUGACGCUGAGGCACGAAAGCGUGGGUAG
RNAcentral lists this ribosomal RNA (245 nucleotides) under uncultured bacterium. RNAcentral describes it as "partial 16S ribosomal RNA". It matches the Rfam family "Bacterial small subunit ribosomal RNA", at positions 524 to 768 of the family's 1533-position model. The record is from RNAcentral.